Non-coding RNA from Pelobates cultripes (western spadefoot toad), 232 nucleotides. Lineage: Eukaryota; Metazoa; Chordata; Amphibia; Anura; Pelobatidae. The record is from the annotation of a GenBank genome assembly.
GAAGAGUAGGGAGAAGGGGAAUUAUCUACCCAUUAGCAAUAAAUAAUGAAUAUUAAAAAUAAAAAAAUAAAAAAUUAACGUCUUUGUAACCUAUGAUUUUCUAGGAUUCUGGGCAUUUGUGACCGAGAACUUUUUUGGUACCUUUGUGUUCCACAGUAAUGUAAUGCUUUCUGUUUAUGUGCUCCCAUACUAUAAUUGUAUUAUAUGUAUUUUUAAAGAAUCUACCCAAUAG